Molecule: unclassified non-coding RNA, 186 nt
Filed under: uncultured Herpotrichiellaceae
Lineage: Eukaryota; Fungi; Ascomycota; Eurotiomycetes; Chaetothyriales; Herpotrichiellaceae
Description: sequence contains ITS1
Source: RNAcentral
CCGAGUUAGGGUAUAAUAUGCCCGACCUCCAACCCUUUGUCUACCUACUAUUUGUUGCUUCGGCGAGCCCGCUCCUUGAAAUAUAGGGGCCGCCGGGGGUCUAGUACCCCUGGUCAGUGCUCGUCGAUAGCCUAUAUUAAACUCUUGUUUAACUGUGUCGUCUAAGUAAAAAGCACUUAAUAAAUA